RNAcentral lists this transfer RNA (72 nucleotides) under Camelus bactrianus (Bactrian camel). It matches the Rfam family "tRNA". Rfam says of the family: Transfer RNA (tRNA) molecules are approximately 80 nucleotides in length. Their secondary structure includes four short double-helical elements and three loops (D, anti-codon, and T loops). Further hydrogen bonds mediate the characteristic L-shaped molecular structure. tRNAs have two regions of fundamental functional importance: the anti-codon, which is responsible for specific mRNA codon recognition, and the 3' end, to which the tRNAs corresponding amino acid is attached (by aminoacyl-tRNA synthetases). tRNAs cope with the degeneracy of the genetic code in two manners: having more than one tRNA (with a specific anti-codon) for a particular amino acid; and 'wobble' base-pairing, i.e. permitting non-standard base-pairing at the 3rd anti-codon position. The record is from Rfam by way of RNAcentral. Lineage: Eukaryota; Metazoa; Chordata; Mammalia; Artiodactyla; Camelidae. RNAcentral also lists the same sequence under 2 other names.
GAGGGGAUAGCUCAGUGGUAGAGUGCAUACUUAGCAUGCAUGAGCUUCUGAGUUCAAUCCCCAGUACUGCCA